GCCCGCAUGGCACAGUGGUAAUGCGUCUCACUCGUAAUGAGAAGAUCCGCGGUUCAAUUCCGCGUGUGGGCA
RNAcentral lists this transfer RNA (72 nucleotides) under Drepanopeziza brunnea f. sp. 'multigermtubi' MB_m1. RNAcentral's name for it is "tRNA-Thr (CGT) (tRNA-Thr-CGT-1-1)". It matches the Rfam family "tRNA". From Rfam's summary of the family: Transfer RNA (tRNA) molecules are approximately 80 nucleotides in length. Their secondary structure includes four short double-helical elements and three loops (D, anti-codon, and T loops). The record is from RNAcentral. Lineage: Eukaryota; Fungi; Ascomycota; Leotiomycetes; Helotiales; Drepanopezizaceae.